CUUCACCGAUGCUUUUAAAAGGAAUUAAAUCCAUGUUUUUGUGUUGGAUUUGUAUUCGUAUCAGUUCAGUACAGCACUAAGAAAGUUUAUUUUACUGCAUCUAACAUAUUCAGUCAUGUUAACCAGUGUGUAUGCACUAAACUGUGAUGAAGACAAACACAUGUCUUUGUAAACUCUGUUUAUUGUGACAGCAGUUGAGAUUGCUUCGGUUCACAGGGUUUUAUUUGUUGGUCUUAUCUCAGUCUCUUUCUCGUAACUGAGACACGUUUUGGUUUUUAGUAAACUCCACCCAGCACAUGCAGCUUCCAGGAUCUGAGGUAGGACAUAUCAACAGCAUCACAGGUAGUGUUAAUUUCGUCAGACGAGACAAGACGAAAUAUGUUCGUCAACACCCUUUUUUUUCAUGACUAAGACGAGACGAUGACAAGACUGCACCACUGACCAAAAACGCUGACUAAGACUAAAUUGACAUGCAUUAUUGUUUACGAAAAAAGACGAGACGAAAAUGUUUUGUAUAAAAUAAAAACUAAGAUAAAAUCUCUCUUCAUUUUCGUCUACAAUUGUCUCUGCUUUUUCAUCAGCUGUUACGCCUUUAAAAUAUUCACAACGAGUUCGCGGCUUCGCUGUUGCUCAAGUUACAGGUCCGCGAAGCGGAUCCCGCUUAUUACAUUGCUACCUAUCAAAUAAAUCGAUAAUUUGACUCAAAAUGAUGAUUUAAAAAGGAGUUUAUUGAUUUAAAAACAAUUGUAUUGUUUCCACAAAAGAAAAUAGUGCGCUCCGUCUCUACGGUUAGAAUCCUGUGUGUCCAUGGCAACGCUCUGUUUUUCAUGGCAACGGUGUGUUAUAGUUCGCAGCGGUCUGUUAUCAAGAAAUAAAAUAGUGUGUGUGUAGAAACAAUUCAUCCACACGCCGCUCAAAAAAAUAUUAUUAAAAUAAAUAAAAACUCCUGAGCACAAGUCCACCCCUGGUCUAGUCAGGCUUUUUGUGUUAAAUUAUAUUUCCUGUCGCUGCGCAGGCUCUUUUAUUGUACAUGACAGCUUAUGUCCCGAUGACCGGUCUUUGCAUUACGAUUAAAAGCAGUAUUAAUAAAGUAAACAAUGUGGUGUGCAGUCAAGUUCGAGUGUAUGCACUGUUUAAACGAGUGUUCUCAACUUCUCACUGAUACUUUUGUGAUUUGCGGAGUUUUGACAAGUUUUAUAGCCUUGAUAUAAAGUGGUGACAGAAAAAACUCAGCACCCUCAACCUGAAACCUCUUCCUACGCUCCUGUCACAAUCACAUCAUAAUCAAAAUUAAUAAUUAGGCUUAAAAACAAAUGUAUAUGUGAGGGAAUCAAGUUUAACAAUUACAUGUAAUAUUGCUCCAAAUAUCAUCAAUAAUGGUGCGUGCAAUACCAUGUAUAACUUGCAUUAAGUCGGUAAUUUAUAUAUUUAUAUAUAUACACACCUACAGUUUUGAUCUUAGGCUUUUCAUUAAGUUAUUUACUGUAUUUCCACUAUAACACUUGUGUUCCUGAUAUUAUUGCAUUUAAUAUCACGUACACGACAUAUCAUCGCAUAUCAUCGCAUUCACCAGGUUUUGCUACACCUGGAACUUAGCUCUGGUUAGCCGUUUUCUGCAUUUGCCCUUAUGUUUCUUCAAUAAACAUCGUGUACUGCACUUCGGUUUCCGGCACGUUCUUCCACCUGACAUCGGCUUACCCACAGAUACCAUACUGUCUGUGGUGAAAAUCACCUGUCUUAUAAUCCAACCUCUAUUCAUCUGAUGCAAUAGGAAGUAAAAUAUGUUUACUUACUGCAGUGUUAAUGUUAUUUUUUACAUCAAAGAAUGUCAGAAUUCUGUGUCAGAAUGUCCUUUUAAUCUUUUGGGGAGGGAUCUCAUGAGCAGGCUACACGUUUCUAUUAGCUUCUCUGGCUCUAAACUUGUCGUACCAUCCCCAUCUUUUGCUUUACUAGACACUCUACCGCCCUCAUUGUGGGCUGAUCAUAAGAAUGAUGUGGGUCUCGUGCAGUGUACACCCUAUGAAGCUAAGUCAAAACAUUUAGACCCUGUGUUUGUUAAACAAUAUCCUUUGUUUGAAGCUAAAUUGCAGGGCGUGGAUGGAGAUUUACAAUCUCUUCUACAACAGGGGGUAGUCAAACCAUGUGUAUGUUCAUACAACACUCCUGUCAAUCCGGGUCCCUAAACCGGAUGGGUCCUGGCACUUCACACAAGACUUGAGGAAAAUAAAUGACAUCAUCAUCCCUGUUGUGCCAGAUGUGGCCUCAAUUCUCACCUCAAUUCCAUGUGAACAUACUUUCUUUUCUGUUAUUGACUUAUGUUCUGCCUUUCUCAGUGAUCCUGUCGAAGAGCAGACACAGCCUCUCUUUGCCUUCACACACAGGGGACGGCAGUAUAUGUGGACACACCUACCACAAGGGUAUAUUGAUUCUCCGGCAGCUGUAAAGGAUGCAUUAUGUGAUCUUGUUCUCCCCACUGGUUCUGUUGUCUUGCAGUAUGCAGAUGACCUCUUAGUCGCCGCAGCCUCUGAAAAACUCUGUGAACAAGCCUCCCUUCGCCUCCUGCGCCAUCUAGCUUCAAAAGGCUUCAAGGUUUCAAACCCAAGUUGCAGUUCUGUCUACCCACGGUGAAGUAUCUGGGGUUUGAACUCUUACAAGGCAGAAGAAAACUCUCUCAAGACCGUAUACAGAGAUACAGCCUUUUAAGAGAAGGUGCCUUCAACCUCCUGGCUUCUCCCAUCAUCACUACACGACACUCAGCAGUGACCCCACGGACCCUUCUGUGUGGGUUCUUUGGACAUUAUUAAAGCUGCAGGAGGUGACGGGAAAGGCUACAGAGAAAUGAACGACCACCUCUAGUUUAGUACAGGACACACAACCAGUGACCAGUAUGGUUGUCAUCCUCCUCAUCUUGAUCAUCUGCCUUGGGACAGGGUUACCCGUCCAAGCGCACCCUCAUGACAACGAAUUCUGAGAAGUGACUGAGGGUCUGGCCCAGGCCAGGCAACAUACUAAUAGUGAUUACUCAUUUAGCAUGGCUUCCAGAGAAAAAUAGAUAAUCAUAUAUGAGUGGAAGCAAUGGAACAAUGUGUCAAUAGAAAGUAUAAAUAAACCAUCUCUCUCACACACACGCACUUAUACAACAAUAUCUGUCUCAGCCGAUCAAUUCGAACUGUCUACGUGACCCCAGCUCCACUUUCACCACCACGUAGCAGAUAUGUGCUGCGAACGUCAUUUUUCUGGAGGCUGCAGAUUCAUGUGAGGAUCAGGACACAGUGCAGUUACAUACAUGAUACAUGACAUAAUAAUAUGAUUAUUCUAGAAAAAUACUACUAUUGUGUAUCCAUACCGAGAUCAUCUCCCAUCUUAAUCACAGCUUCUCUCUGCUCGUCAUCCGGUGCAGCGGAGCACAAAAGUCGAGCCAGAGGAAGGCACCACUCCUUCAAUGUCUGGACAUUUCUGUCCUGUAGCACAAAUUAACAUGUUAUUCAGCACGAUACUGGCAAAAAUAGACCUUCAAGAGGAGGGAGGCGACAUUGCACAUCAUCACCUUCUGUAUAAGAACUAUCAUUAGCUAACACAUCUACUGUAGGUUUUGGGGAUGUAGCUUAAUGAACCUGCAAUACUUACUCCAUUUUGAUGGCAGAACAAUUCCAUUAUCUGCCAGAAGAUAUAUUCUUCCACUUGGUUGCAUUUAUGACUAUUCUGUAUUUUCCACUGAAUAAACUGCAGCAGAUUCUCCUUCUGCAUGUUUUUGCUGAAA
Tachysurus vachellii is the source of this 3760-nucleotide long non-coding RNA. RefSeq lists it as uncharacterized. The record is from RefSeq and is a predicted model, not a curated record. The transcript is spliced from 2 exons. Lineage: Eukaryota; Metazoa; Chordata; Actinopteri; Siluriformes; Bagridae.